Molecule: ribosomal RNA, 229 nt
Filed under: uncultured bacterium
Lineage: Bacteria
Description: partial 16S ribosomal RNA
Rfam family: Bacterial small subunit ribosomal RNA
Source: RNAcentral
UGCGCAGGCGGACCUAUUAGUCAGUGGUGAAAUCCUGGGGCUCAACUCCGGAACUGCCAUUGAUACUGUAGGUCUUGAGUUUGGUUGAAGUGGGCGGAAUGUAGCAUGUAGCGGUGAAAUGCAUAGAUAUGCUACAGAACACCGAUCGCGAAGGCAGCUCACUAAACCAAAACUGACGCUCAGGCACGAAAGCGUGGGUAGCGAACAGGAUUAGAUACCCUGGUAGUCC